Molecule: transfer RNA, 76 nt
Filed under: Ligilactobacillus salivarius ACS-116-V-Col5a
Lineage: Bacteria; Bacillati; Bacillota; Bacilli; Lactobacillales; Lactobacillaceae
Description: tRNA-Gly
Rfam family: tRNA
About the family: Transfer RNA (tRNA) molecules are approximately 80 nucleotides in length. Their secondary structure includes four short double-helical elements and three loops (D, anti-codon, and T loops).
Source: RNAcentral
GCGGGUAUACGUUAAAAGGUAGACUGCCAGACUCCCCAUUCUGGAAGUGCGGGUUCGAGUCCCGUUAUCCGCUUAA